This 460-nucleotide ribosomal RNA is filed under the name uncultured bacterium. RNAcentral's name for it is "partial 16S ribosomal RNA". It matches the Rfam family "Bacterial small subunit ribosomal RNA", at positions 338 to 795 of the family's 1533-position model. The record is from RNAcentral.
CCUACGGGAGGCAGCAGUGAGGAAUAUUGGUCAAUGGGCGCGAGCCUGAACCAGCCAAGCCGCGUGAGGGAUGACGGCCCUACGGGUUUUAAACUUCUUUUGUAGAGGGAUAGAGUGAGGCACGUAUGCCUUGUUGUAUGUACUUUAUCAAUACGGAUCGGCUAACUCCGUGCCAGCCCCCGCGGUAAUACGGUGGGUCCGAGCGUUAUCCGGAUUUAUUGGGUUUAAAGGGAGCGUAGAUGGGUUGUUAAGUCAGUUGUGAAAGUUUGCGGCUCAACCGUAAAAUUGCAAUGGAUACUGGCAGCCUUGAGUACAGUAGAGGUAGGCGGAAUUCGUGGUGUAGCGGUGAAAUGCGUAGAUAUAACGAAGAACUCCGAUUGCGAAGGCAGCCUACUAAACUGCCACUGACAUUGAUGCUCGAAAGUGUGGGUAUCAAACAGGAUUAGAUACCCUUGUAGUC